RNAcentral lists this ribosomal RNA (460 nucleotides) under uncultured bacterium. RNAcentral's name for it is "partial 16S ribosomal RNA". It matches the Rfam family "Bacterial small subunit ribosomal RNA", at positions 338 to 795 of the family's 1533-position model. The record is from RNAcentral.
CCUACGGGCGGCAGCAGUGAGGAAUAUUGGUCAAUGGACGAGAGUCUGAACCAGCCAAGUAGCGUGAAGGAUGACUGCCCUAUGGGUUGUAAACUUCUUUUAUAUGGGAAUAAAAUGUUCCACGUGUGGGAUUUUGUAUGUACCAUAUGAAUAAGGAUCGGCUAACUCCGUGCCAGCAGCCGCGGUAAUACGGAGGAUCCGAGCGUUAUCCGGAUUUAUUGGGUUUAAAGGGAGCGUAGGUGGAUUGGUAAGUCAGUUGUGAAAGUUUGCGGCUCAACCGUAAAAUUGCAGUUGAAACUGGCAGUCUUGAGUACAGUAGAGGUGGGCGGAAUUCGUGGUGUAGCGGUGAAAUGCUUAGAUAUCACGAAGAACUCCGAUUGCGAAGGCAGUUCACUGGACUGCAACUGACACUGAGGCUCGAAAGUGUGGGUAUCAAACAGGAUUAGAUACACUAGUAGUC